UUAUGUGUUUACAAUUAUGCGGAAAACUAGCGCUGCCGCAUUGUAGAUACCAUAUAUAAAUUCAUCCAUAAAUUUCUCUUUUUGCGAAAAUUCCUCUUCUUUUAUUUAAAAAAAAUAAAUUUUUAAAAAUCAUAUCGAGGACAGUCUUUUAUUUUGCUAACACUUGUAUUGGCUUGACCAGAAAGGAGUUUUACGCGAAAAAACUUCGAACACACCUGGUUUUGGCUCGACCAGGGUAAUUUUUUUAAAGCGAGGCCGAAGGCCGCCAAUGCAGAAAGGAGUUCUACACGAAAAAAAACUUCGGACAUCGCUGGAAAGAUUUUUUAUAUACAUCCUUGAUGCAGAAGAGAGUUUUACGAGAAAAAACUAUGGCUGGUAUUGUCACCGGCGAAGCGAACAUACUUGGCGAGUCGAACGCUUCGGCGAAAAUUCGACUCGUUCGUAUUGUGACUGGCGAAUGAACACAUUCGCCUAACUUCUUUGUUGCCAUACCAAAAUAAUUGAAAAAUGCCACACGAAUUCAUCCAAAAUUGACAUUUUUGACAUCUUUAAUUUGAAUAUUGUUUUUGUUUACAAAAUUUAUUUUGAAUUUCAUACAACCAAAUCAAAAAGUCCAUAAAUUGUUGUUUCUAUUUAAACGUAAACAAAAAUUGUGUACUUGAAGAAAUGUGUGAUAUAAAGUUCGAUGACCAAGAUUGGUUCAAUAAAGAUAAAGAAGACAUAUUGUAGAGCUUACAGUGCAAUGAUUCUGUGAAAGCUACGGAAGCUAAUAUAUAAUAUAUUCAUAAAUAUAUAAACAGAUGAAUACCUUCAGCAAAAACGUCUAGAAGCUACUUCGGAUCUUGUGAAAGGUGCAAAGAUAAAAAAGAUGAAUACAACAGAGAAGCGUAAAGCAAUUAAUAUGGAACUUUUGGACACUUUUCUCUUCAUUAAAACAAACGAAACUGAUUUCUUCGUUGAUUAAAUUUCAUCUAGUGACGUAUUGGAACCGGUUAUUUUAUAAUUGCGUAUUUGGUUUAAUGUGUGUGAACUGGAGCUUCCUGGAUUUCAAAGGGAGCUUUUACAAUACUUUGUGAACAAUGAAAUAUUCUUAGAACAAUUACGUGUUUUAAGUACUAAACUGUUGCGAAAAAAAUUUAAAGCAUUAUGGAGAAAUAUCGAAGAGGCUGGAACCAGUUGAAAAAAACUUCAGUGGUUCAGCAGCGGAAGACAAAUAACGAAUUCUUUGUAAAUAUUGUAGUUACAUCCCUAAAUGCGAAAUUCGACUGAAAUUUCAUUCGCUUCGCCAGUGACAAUACCAGCCUAUGAUAUGCUAAUAAAUAAAACACAGUCAUUAAAAAAUCUAUCAUCUAUGGUUUCUAACAUGUGGCAACAUUCGUGUUCCACAUAACUGUAAACACAGAAACCUUUUCAGCGAUCAGUGAUUUUUAAAAUAAGUAAUUUUUGCUUAAAAAAUCUAUAUUUUAAAUUAAAUUGAAUGUUAAUAGUGUAAUUUUCAAUAUGUGAAGUGAAAAAUGUGAAAAAAUAGUGUUAGUGUGUGAAAUUCCAUGUGUUACUUAUAGAAAAAAUUGGACUUUUAAACAUGAAUAUUUUAAAAACUAUUAGUCCAAUCAAUAAUAUUUAUAUAUAUUCCUGCUCUGGAGUCUCCUUUUUCAUCCAUUUAUACCGAUCGGAGUUGUCAAUCCCCGACCGCCAAAAAGAAAAAUCUUCGCGACUGGAACUAUUAGAGCUACAAACUAAAGCUCAGGAAAUUGUACUAUGUCCAGAACAAAUUUAUAAUGCAGUUGAAUCCGAGUUAUAUUGGAAGCUUUUUCUUUUUCUAGAAUUGAUUGCCUCAAAAGAAAAAAAUUGAUUACCUCUUCUUAACAAUGUAUCUUCGCAUCCAAACGAAGAUUAAUUAAAGUCUGCAGACGGCUGAAUUCCAGCCGUAUUUUUGCUUCCGAAUGUCCCUAAGUUAAUUCAAUAAAUGGAUCGAAACGCAAUAAGAAUAACAAAAAUACAUAUUGAAAUUCGAAAAUAUCCAAACAACUAACUUGAAGUGUUUUCAGCAACCAAAUGGAAGGAUGAAUAUUCUCAAAUGCUUAUUUCCUGAGGUUACUUUUAUAUACGAAGAAAUAAAUAUCUGGAAUAUAGACCUUAGAAAGCAAUUCGGAAGAUCAAUUUGAGGAAAAUGAACCCUAACGAACGAUGAAAUGAACAUCCAAAGUGGAAUCAAUUGGAAAGUUGUACAAUGUUAAACAGUUAGAUGCCGUCGUCAAGAAAACUGUUUCCAUUUAUCGCCAAAAUGGAUUAGUGUGUGGCAACUUGAAAGCAAAUUCUUGAACGUAUAACUUCCGGGUUAGUUCGAAUUUUCGCGAGUGCACUGAUAUAAUAAAAGAGGGCUGAGGUAAAGUGGUCCAGAAGCCCGGGAAAUCGUGAGCAUCGUUUUGAAAAAAAAGGAGAAACACGUUUUAAUGUCGCGCCAUCUUCGUAUCUGGGAAAAUCCUCAUAAAAGCGAGAUUCUUUAACAGAUCGCUUAUUUGCGCACAAGCUCCAACGGAAGAGAAGGACGAUGUGACCAAAUAUAUAGCGCCUCUGAAUGCUGCUCCCGCCACGAUGUCAAAAUCGUGCUUGGCGAUUUUAACGCUAGGAUGGGUAAAGAAGAUGUCUUUGGCAUAACAGUAGGAAAAUUCAGCCUCCAUGGCAAAACAUCGCCAAACAGCCUGAGGCUUAUCGACUUCGCUGGGACCCGAAAUAUGGUCGUCAGUAGUACGAGAUUCCAGCAUAAGAAAAUCCAUCAAGCAACAUGGAUGUCUCCUGAUCGAAAUACGCAUAACCAAAUCGAUCAUGCUGUGAUAGACGGAAGACACGUCUCCAGUGUUUUAAAGGUGCGUGCGCUCCGAGGACCAAAUGUACACUGGGACCAUUAUCUAGUAGCAGCGAAGAUACGCACCCGCCUCUGUGCAGCAUAGAACCCCCGUCAACAAAGACAAGGAAGGUCCGACGUCGAAAAGCUGCAAUCGUAACACUACUACUCAACUUGCACUCUUGUGAAUGCACCGUAUUUCCAAAAUUAGCUAUCAAAAAGCACUGACAAAUUAUCAGCAGAUACAUCAACAUUAAAUACAUCCUCUUUUAAUUCUGGAUUUAUAUUAAUUUAAACUCUUUCAUAUUUGAAGUUAAAUUUUCGGACAUUGUACAUUUUAAUUUUGACGAGAUGUAAAACAUGGUAAUCUCGAAAUGAAAAUUUACUUUUUUGAUAGUAUUACAACCACAUUUUUAGCCACAGUAUUUUUAAGAGACUGAUCUUGGAUAGAUCAGAUUGUCAGCUACAACUUUCGAUUGAUUUUUUUAGAUGUCGAAGGGGACUUUCUAUGAGGGAAAGUGGAAGAAAUAUUGAUAAGGUCGAUAAGGUUGAUAAGGGUUCGAGAAGAUAAAAUAAACUUCAAUAUAUUUAAAACUGGAAGAAACAUUUAAUGUUGUAAUUUAAAAAAAGGAUAAUAAAGUGAGAGUACAUAAAUAGGUGCAUCAUAACUGCUGGACCACCCACUUAAAGGUAUAAUUUAGAUUAUUUCGAAUACUUUAUCAUCGAAUGAAAUAUAUAGGAUAUUAGCGGUAUUCGAUUAAUCAUUUGAGUAAAUAAAACGUAAGGCAUAGACGCUGCCACAAAGAAACUGGCGCAUCACUUAACCAAUCGAUGACAGCUAUUAUAGCUAAUAUUCAUGCGUUGAAAUUAAACGUACAUUCCGUCAAAUAAGUAACCGGAAAUUCUAAUUUUAAAAUUUUCCGCUGAGAAUAUUAAAAAAAAAAACAUUUUCCCCCCCAAGUUGGCACAACUGUCAGCCACUAUUCUGUCAAUUUUUAUUGAUAUGUGUCAUUUAGUUUGUUUACGGCGUCAUUAGGAACAAGUCAACCUUUUGUGUGCGUUGCGAUUUUUAUAUGCCCCUCUUUGAACGAUUUAUACCAAUCGUAAACUUGAGUUUUCACAUGUUUGAAUCACCAAAUGUUUUUUCAACGUUUUGGCACAAGAAAUUUCGUUUGAAACACAAAAUUCACACAAACUAAUAAUAAUUUGUUAAUUACUAACUAAUUUUAGAAUUUCCGUGUAAUUAUUUGACAGAAUAUAUUAUGCAAGUAUAACAUACAAAUGUUUUUUUUUUAACAUUUCCCAUGUUUUGGCACAAGAAAUUUCGUAUUUACACACAUAAUUUUGAUUUUAUAUUUUAAGUACCAUAUAUUUCUUAGUUGAAGAUUUAUAAGAGAACGAAUGAAAAUAUGCAUAUAAGAAUACUUCUACAAUCCUAUCGUAUUUUAAAGCCCAUUUAAGUAAAUACUAAAUAUACCAAACUCUGUAACUCUACUCUUAAGUUAUGUGCUGAACACAUAGAAGACGGCAAGCGACCAGCGACAUCUGUCAAAUAUUAAAAUACACGCGUUCUUAUGGACACAGAUUUUUUGACAACAGCACGACUACGCGACAACAGGCUUGUAGUUGUCGUUGUCGCUAAAUUAAAAAUGUUUCUAAUUUUGGCGACGACAAUAGGUAGCUGUAGAGUUGCCACUAAUAUGUGAAAUGUAAAAUUAUUAAAAGUUAUAACAAAUAUGACGUUAUUUUGCCAGCAGAAACGUAAAAUAGCUUUCAUAUAUCAUUUAUAAUAACAACCGAUUAUUUAAAACAAAUAAAUCGCCAAUUUUUACAUUUUUUGCACAAAUAAUUUCACUUAAACUAUAUAUGUAAAUUUUAUUGAAGUGAAAGAUUUUAUUACUGCAACAAUGAAAUUGCUGUUUGAUAUGUCGCUGCCGUCUUCAAAAAGUUCAAGACGUGGCACAGUGGGCCCAAUGGAGCUUAUUUCUCGGAUUAAUUAAAAAAAAAUAUAUGAAGAUCCUUUAAAACUAUGUAUACUUGCUUAAAGUACACAAAAUUCUACAUCACUAAGCAAAAAAAAAUAAAUGUCAAAUACGUAGUAGUGUAAUUCUAAAAAUUUGUAAAACUUAACCAUCGAACCAUCAAACUCAGGUAAUAAUUGAACUUUGUUUGCUAAAUUGUGUGUAAAGUUAUAAUUGCAAAAGUAUGUUUUUUUGAGAUUACAUAUAUGAAGUGCAAAAAAUUUAUUUUCUUAGUUUAACUAGACAAAAAGUUGGUAGUUCAAUUGAGUUCAGAUAAGAUUUAAACACCAUUGGAAAAUUAAGUGUUAUUUUAGAGAAAUUUAGGUUGCGCAUCAGUGCGCCUCAGAAGAUAUGCUCGCAUUUGUAAUAAUAUUCCUUAUGCAAUUUAUAAAUUAAAUUUGCUUCUGGACUGCAGCUUGUGCGCCUAACGGUUUUUUUGUUGUUACAUUUACUGUGUUGUUUAUACUGUUGGAGUUUCGUAGGAUUUGCUUUUGUUGCUGUUAUUUUAUAUUUUUAUUUUUUGUUUUGUUUUAAUAUACCAUCUUUUAAGAGUCAUGUGAUUAAAUUUUGCAGGAACAUGCUCAAACGUCGUUUUUUUACUCGCCUCAGCUUGUACAAUAUUUUCAAUUAUGUCAGCUGUAGGAUAUUGGAUGAAAAAAUCAUGCAUUUAAAAGAAGAGCUAAAAAAUCGUACUUUUUAUUCUGAAGACAACUCUCAUGUUUUCAAUGAACGAAUAAACAAAUUUGUAUUUGAGUUUAAGAAAAAAUGGAAUAAGGCCCAUAGAAGGGAAGACAGAUUUCUAUCUGAUAUUAAUAAGAAUUGGCUACAAUCGUCAAUUGUGUGUAAAUUAAAAAAACUAAAUUUUUAAGAGACACCACAGAGUUACGAGUUUUACUUCAUGCAGUAGAAACUAAAUUAAGAACAACCGGCUCCGUAGAAAAAUCAAAAGCGAUACGUAGUAUCGUACAUUUUUCACCAGCAACAGCCAAAAGUUUUAACGAAAGUUUAAAGAAACCUAUAAUCAGUACAAAAAUGUCAAAUCUUAAAGCUCUAGCUGUCUUCGUAGAAGCUAAGCUGUCUCGCUACCAAUACAUUGUUGUUAGACAAUCUGCUCCAGAUAAGUUUCCAACAUAUAAAAUUAUGCAAAAAGAGAAAAAAAGAGCUAUCCAGAAUAUCGGUGCAUUACAAUAAGCGAAACUUCCGCUGAAGUAAGUUUACAAGCACUAUUAAACCACAUAGCAGAACGAUUAAUACAAAUUCAUGAAAACCGUAUUGACUCGUUAAGUAACCAAAAACUCCAACUGCAUGCUAAAUGGGGAUUUGAUGGGAGCUCUGGUCACAGUUCGUACAAGCAAGCUUUUCAUGGAUGUGAUGGUAUCGAUUCCUCCGUAUUUUUAACCACAAUUGUGCCUCUCAAACUUAUGUUGGCUGAACAAGUAAUUUGGAAAAAAUCUUUGACCAUCAUAAACUAGAUUUUGUAGGCCCCUAAAAAUUUAAUUUGUGAAGUAAACCAUUGAGGCGAUUACGGAAAAGGAAAGGGUAGAACAAGAGAUUAAGAAUUUAAUUUGUACAACUAUACUAGUUAAUGACAAAGUUGUAUAUGUGGAUCACAAAUUAAUUUUGACAAUGAUUGAUGGGAAGGUGUGCAUGCUUUAACUGGAACUACAUCAACACAAAAGUGCUAAGGAUUUUAACAAUAUAGAAGACAUGAUCGAAAGACCUGUAAAUGUAGAAAACUUGAAAUUUGGCUUAUUUGUUCUUCACGGAUGGAUUAGAUUUUUUGAAAGUCUCCUACAUAUUUCAUACAAAUUACCGAUACAGAAAUGACAAGCUAGAACCGAUUAAGAAAAACAAAUCAUUUCUGAGACGAAGCGAAGAAUUCAGAAGCAAUUUAAAGAAACUUUAGGAUUAAUAGUGGACCAACAAAAACCUAGCUUUAAUAAUAAACCCAAAUUAUUACCCUCCUCCUCCCGCCCAACCGACGCGUGGGGCGUAGUCCGCAUACGAGCGGAAUUUGCAGAGUCUAGAAAGGCAAGAGAUUUUUAAGCGUUCAGUUCUCAAACUGCUCAACUACAGAAAGAAACAUUUCAACAGCUGAGAUUUAAAAAUUUAUAAAAACAAAAAGUUAAAAAUUUCUGAAUUUUACUUAUUAAGAGAAGACAAAAUAGUUUUUUUGAUGCUAAAUAUUGAGUCAGAUGGAUCAAAUGUGCUGGAAUGAGAAUUAAAAUCCUGACAUAUUCGGCGGAAUGGUUCGUUUAACUCAAAAUUUGUUCUAGAAGACCAUUACUUCGGUCUAAACUGCCUAGUUGAACGCAAUGCGAUAUUAAACUUAAUAUCAGACAAUAGGAAUGAACUACAAACUAAACCAUUCAGAAGUUUUACUAGGAAUAUUAUACCUAGCAUUUCUCUGCGACUAGUGAGUGUUGGAAGAUUUAUAAGUUUUAAACGACUAGUAUACGGAGAAGAUUCAAACUUGAAUCUCAAUGUAAGUGGCCUAAAGCAAAAAGUAAAAAUUGUUUUUGAACGGACUCAAGCUUAUCAGAAUGGGAUUGAUAGCAAGGAUUCCAUAUCACAGAACCAUACUCCUCACUAAAUUCUUUAGACCAACGUUUAACAAAGCUAAGAGCACCUUUAGAUUUUAAGACAAUUGAAUUUACAUGAGAAUUAAAAUUUAGUUUAGGGUCCAUAGUAACUCCUAAAUCAACAAAGCUAAAAACUUGCUCUAAACUGAAGUUAUAAACUACAUAGGGAGAAAGAUCAACAGUUCUACGGGAAAAGCACAUCGUUUUACAUUUUUUAAGAUUCAGUGGCAUAUCAUUUUUGUGACACCAAGUAACUAAAUUAUUUAAAUCCGAUUGCAACUCAGUCCUUUCGUUAUAAGAAGUAUAUGAUUAAGUUUUACAUCAUCCGCAUAUAAUAAAAUUUCUGAAAACUUAAUUACAGAAGGUAUAUCAUUGAUGAACAACAAGAACAGAAUCGGGCCGAGAUGACUACCCUGUGGAACUCCUGAAGUGACACUAAUUGAAUCGGAUAAUGUAUUAUUAAAUAAAACUUGUUGUUUUCUGUUAGUAAGAUAUGAGGAUACCCAUUCAAGAAGAAACACCCAAACAAAUCCAUUUGGAAACACAAAUGACGGUAAUACCAGACGUUUUUUUCAAAAUGCAGAAAAGUCUGCUGAAAUAACCUCUAAAAAUUUAAAUUUGAUAAAGCAAAUGGACAUUCUUUUAAUCCUGGUGUCUAGUGAGUAUGAAAUAAGCAACAAAAAAUUUCGAGUUUUUUCACGUAAAACAGCAAAACUUUUUGUUAAGUUGUAUCCGUGGUACAACAUGCCCCCGACUUUGCACAAAUACUUUAUACACGGACCUGAAAUUAUUGAUAACACUUUUGCCUAUUGGCCAAUUAUCAGAAGAAGCACAAGAUGCUCGCAGUCGGGAAUUACAUUCAAGAAAGUGCAGCCGCGAAAAGUCUAAUCAAGAUAUUCUCAAUUCUUUAUUUUUUAACCUCAGAUCCAAUAAUUUCAAGCAUGCGAAGAUUGCCAAAAAAGAACUUGCAAAAUUUACCAGAAGAGGCUGUCGAUUUAAUUAUACGUGAUGAGUAUGGAAAUGAUAGUGAAGAUGUUGAUGAUGAUGAUGAUGAUGUCGACGAUGACGAUGAUGAUGUUAGUGAAGGUGACAAGUAUUACAAUGAGAGUUUAGAUGCAGAUGACAUCGAUAUUAAAUAAGAAUUUUUUGGAAUUGCUUCAAUUCUAUAGUCAUAUCUAGUAAAUCAUUAUUUUAAUAUUACAGCUGCAUCCAAAUCUUCUUAAAAACUAUUUGUUGUGACUUACUGGAUUUGAAUAAAAUAUAAAAUAAUCAAAAAUUAUAAAAAUAAAGCUUCACUUAAUUAAUCCGAGAAAUGAGCUCCAUUGGCCCCACUGUGCGCUGGUUUCAAAGCGACAUUUGCAAUUAGCCGUCGCUACGUCGUGUCGUCGUUUUUGUGUUCAGCACAUUAGUCUUAUUGUUGAAAUUUAAGAGAUCUAUUUAUUUGGAUUUUGACUCUUAUAGUAAAUUAGCGAUAUCUAAAUAAUAUUAUUAACACAUAUCAUAUCACGUUUUACACCUACCUUU
This is a long non-coding RNA of Zeugodacus cucurbitae (melon fly), 8972 nucleotides long. RefSeq lists it as uncharacterized. The record is from RefSeq and is a predicted model, not a curated record. Lineage: Eukaryota; Metazoa; Arthropoda; Insecta; Diptera; Tephritidae. The transcript is spliced from 6 exons.